CAAAGAGCCUUAUCAGUAUUAAAUUUAUCAAAAAUCCCAAUAACUCAACACAGAAUUUGCACCCUAACCAAAUAUUUACAAAGCACCAUAGCUAACAUAACACGCCCAUACACAGACCACCAGAAUGAAUUUACCUACGCAAGGGGUAAGUUGUACAUAACCAUUUAAAUGUAAUAAAGACAUAAAUAUGUAUAUAGUACAUUAAAAUUAUAUGCCCCAUGCAUUAUUAAGCAAGUACAUGACCUCUAUAGCAGUACAUAAAUACAUAUAAUUAUUGACUUGUACAUAGUACAUUAUGUCAAAUUCAUUCUUGAUAGUAUAUCUAUUAUAUAUUCCUUACCAUUAGAUCACGAGCUUAAUUACCAUGCCGCGUGAAACCAGCAACCGCUAGUGCAGGGAUCCCUCUUCUCGCUCCGGGCCCAUAAACCGUGGGGGUCGCUAUCCAAUGAAUUUUACCAGGCAUCUUGGUUCUUUCUUCAGGGCCAGUCUCAUCUAAAACGGUCCAUUCUUUCCUCUUAAAUAAGACAUCUCGAUGGACUAAUGGCUAAUCAGCCCAUGCUCACACAUAAACUGUGCUGUCAUACAUUUGGUAUUUAUUUGGGGGAUGCUUGGACUCAGCUAUGGGCGUCAA
This 631-nucleotide unclassified non-coding RNA is filed under the name Bos taurus (domestic cattle). The record is from RNAcentral. Lineage: Eukaryota; Metazoa; Chordata; Mammalia; Artiodactyla; Bovidae.